Non-coding RNA from Schistosoma margrebowiei, 46 nucleotides. The record is from Rfam. NCBI's taxonomy places the organism in Eukaryota, Metazoa, Platyhelminthes, Trematoda, Strigeidida, Schistosomatidae.
CAACUGCUGAGGGGUCUCAUAACAGAACGAAACGGCCGUCCAGUGC